RNAcentral lists this ribosomal RNA (669 nucleotides) under Streptomyces sp. 276(2010). RNAcentral describes it as "bacterial SSU rRNA". It matches the Rfam family "Bacterial small subunit ribosomal RNA", at positions 87 to 770 of the family's 1533-position model. Lineage: Bacteria; Bacillati; Actinomycetota; Actinomycetes; Kitasatosporales; Streptomycetaceae. The record is from RNAcentral.
GUGGAUUAGUGGCGAACGGGUGAGUAACACGUGGGCAAUCUGCCCUUCACUCUGGGACAAGCCCUGGAAACGGGGUCUAAUACCGGAUAACACUNCUGCCUGCAUGGGUGGGGGUUAAAAGCUCCGGCGGUGAAGGAUGAGCCCGCGGCCUAUCAGCUUGUUGGUGAGGUAGUGGCUCACCAAGGCGACGACGGGUAGCCGGCCUGAGAGGGCGACCGGCCACACUGGGACUGAGACACGGCCCAGACUNAUACGGGAGGCAGCAGUGGGGAAUAUUGCACAAUGGGCGAAAGCCUGAUGCAGCGACGCCGCGUGAGGGAUGACGGCCUUCGGGUUGUAAACCUCUUUCAGCAGGGAAGAAGCGAAAGUGACGGUACCUGCAGAAGAAGCGCCGGCUAACUACGUGCCAGCAGCCGCGGUAAUACGUAGGGCGCAAGCGUUGUCCGGAAUUAUUGGGCGUAAAGAGCUCGUAGGCGGCUUGUCACGUCGGUUGUGAAAGCCCGGGGCUUAACCCCGGGUCUGCAGUCGAUACGGGCAGGCUAGAGUGUGGUAGGGGAGAUCGGAAUUCCUGGUGUAGCGGUGAAAUGCGCAGAUAUCAGGAGGAACACCGGUGGCGAAGGCGGAUCUCUGGGCCAUUACUGACGCUGAGGAGCGAAAGCGUGGGGAGCG